RNAcentral lists this ribosomal RNA (253 nucleotides) under uncultured bacterium. Its description in RNAcentral is "partial 16S ribosomal RNA". It matches the Rfam family "Bacterial small subunit ribosomal RNA", at positions 524 to 776 of the family's 1533-position model. The record is from RNAcentral.
UACGGAGGGUGCGAGCGUUAUUCGGAAUUACUGGGCGUAAAGAGCGCGUAGGCGGUUUAGUAAGUCUGAUGUGAAAUCCCGGGACUCAAUCUCGGACGUGCAUUGGAUACUGCUAGACUAGAGUAUUGGAGGGGAGAACGGAAUUCCUGGUGUAGAGGUGAAAUUCGUAGAUAUCAGGAGGAACAACGGUAGCGAAGGCGGUUCUCUGGACAAUAACUGACGCUGAGGCGCGAAAGCGUGGGUAGCAAACGGG